CCUACGGGCGGCAGCAGUGAGGAAUAUUGGUCAAUGGGCUUACGCCUGAACCAGCCAAGUCGCGUGAGGGAAGACUGCCCUAUGGGUUGUAAACCUCUUUUGUCAGGGAGCAACGCCGGCUACGUGUAGCCGGACUGAGAGUACCUGAAGAAAAAGCAUCGGCUAACUCCGUGCCAGCAGCCGCGGUAAUACGGAGGAUGCGAGCGUUAUCCGGAUUUAUUGGGUUUAAAGGGUGCGUAGGCGGAAUGCCAAGUCAGCGGUAAAAUCGCGGGGCUCAACCUCGCUCCGCCGUUGAAACUGGCGUGCUUGAGUGGGCGAGAAGUAUGCGGAAGGCGUGGUGUAGCGGUGAAAUGCAUAGAUAUCACGCAGAACUCCGAUUGCGAAGGCAGCAUACCGGCGCCCAACUGACGCUGAAGCACGAAAGCGUGGGUAUCGAACAGGAUUAGAUACCCCAGUAGUC
This 460-nucleotide ribosomal RNA is filed under the name uncultured bacterium. RNAcentral's name for it is "partial 16S ribosomal RNA". It matches the Rfam family "Bacterial small subunit ribosomal RNA", at positions 338 to 795 of the family's 1533-position model. The record is from RNAcentral.